UGGGGAAUAUUGCACAAUGGGCGCAAGCCUGAUGCAGCAACGCCGCGUGAGGGACGACGGCCUUCGGGUUGUAAACCUCUUUCAGUAGGGAAGAAGCGAAAGUGACGGUACCUGCAGAAAAAGCACCGGCUAACUACGUGCCAGCAGCCGCGGUAAUACGUAGGGUGCGAGCGUUGUCCGGAAUUAUUGGGCGUAAAGAGCUCGUAGGCGGUCUGUCGCGUCUGCUGUGAAAACCCGAGGCUCAACCUCGGGCCUGCAGUGGGUACGGGCAGACUAGAGUGCGGUAGGGGAGAAUGGAAUUCCUGGUGUAGCGGUGAAAUGCGCAGAUAUCAGGAGGAACACCGAUGGCGAAGGCAGUUCUCUGGGCCGUAACUGACGCUGAGGAGCGAAAGCGUGGGGAGCGAACAGGAUUAGAUACCCUGGUAGUCCACGCCGUAAACGUUGGGCGCUAGAUGUGGGGACCAUUCCACGGUUUCCGUGUCGCAGCUAACGCAUUAAGCGCCCCGCCUGGGGAGUACGGCCGCAAGGCUAAAACU
RNAcentral lists this ribosomal RNA (536 nucleotides) under uncultured bacterium. RNAcentral's name for it is "partial 16S ribosomal RNA". It matches the Rfam family "Bacterial small subunit ribosomal RNA", at positions 355 to 901 of the family's 1533-position model. The record is from RNAcentral.